GAUGAACGCUGGCGGCGUGCCUAAUACAUGCAAGUCGAGCGAACAGACGAGGAGCUUGCUCCUCUGACGUUAGCGGCGGACGGGUGAGUAACACGUGGAUAACCUACCUAUAAGACUGGGAUAACUUCGGGAAACCGGAGCUAAUACCGGAUAACAUGUUGAACCGCAUGGUUCAACAGUGAAAGACGGUCUUGCUUUCACUUAUAGAUGGAUCCGCGCCGCAUUAGCUUGUUGGUAAGGUAACGGCUUACCAAGGCAACGAUGCGUAGCCGACCUGAGAGGGGGAUAGGCAACAGUGGAACUGAGACACGGUCCAGAAAACUACGGGAGGCAGCAGUAGGGAAUCGUACGCAAUGGGCGAAAACAUGACGGAGCAACGCCGCGUGAGUGAAGAAGGUCUUCGGAUCGUAAAACUCUGUUAUUAGGGAAGAAAAAAUGUGUAAGUAACUAUGCACGUCUUGACGGUAACUAAUCAGAAAGCCACGGCUAACUACGUG
Molecule: ribosomal RNA, 497 nt
Filed under: uncultured bacterium
Lineage: Bacteria
Description: partial 16S ribosomal RNA
Rfam family: Bacterial small subunit ribosomal RNA
Source: RNAcentral